RNAcentral lists this transfer RNA (72 nucleotides) under Schistocerca americana (American grasshopper). RNAcentral describes it as "tRNA-Thr". It matches the Rfam family "tRNA". Rfam says of the family: Transfer RNA (tRNA) molecules are approximately 80 nucleotides in length. Their secondary structure includes four short double-helical elements and three loops (D, anti-codon, and T loops). Lineage: Eukaryota; Metazoa; Arthropoda; Insecta; Orthoptera; Acrididae. The record is from RNAcentral.
GCCUUCUUAGCUCAGUGGUAGAGUACUGGUCUCGUAAACCAGGGGUCGUGAUUUCGAACCUCACAGAAGGCA